AUUGAACGCUGGCGGCAGGCCUAACACAUGCAAGUCGAACGGUAACAGAAAGCAGCUUGCUGCUUUGCUGACGAGUGGCGGACGGGUGAGUAAUGUCUGGGAAACUGCCUGAUGGAGGGGGAUAACUACUGGAAACGGUAGCUAAUACCGCAUAACGUCGCAAGACCAAAGAGGGGGACCUUCGGGCCUCUUGCCAUCGGAUGUGCCCAGAUGGGAUUAGCUAGUAGGUGGGGUAAAGGCCCACCUAGGCGACGAUCCCUAGCUGGUCUGAGAGGAUGACCAGCCACACUGGAACUGAGACACGGUCCAGACUCCUACGGGAGGCAGCAGUGGGGAAUAUUGCACAAUGGGCGCAAGCCUGAUGCAGCCAUGCCGCGUGUAUGAAGAAGGCCUUCGGGUUGUAAAGUACUUUCAGCGGGGAGGAAGGGAGUAAAGUUAAUACCUUUGCUAAUUGACGUUACCCGCAGAAGAAGCACCGGCUAACUCCGUG
RNAcentral lists this ribosomal RNA (490 nucleotides) under uncultured bacterium. Its description in RNAcentral is "partial 16S ribosomal RNA". It matches the Rfam family "Bacterial small subunit ribosomal RNA", at positions 30 to 507 of the family's 1533-position model. The record is from RNAcentral.